AACGCACAUUGCGCCUUUUGGUAUUCCGAAAGGCAUGCCUGUUUGAGUGUCAUAUAGACUCAUCUAAUCGGGUUUCCGAUCUAGAUGCUUUGGACGUUGCCGAUCUAGGCUCGUCUUAAAUGACUAAGUGGAAUGCGUAAUAAGUUUUCGCUCCCUCCACUCUAAUAUCUUUUAUCUCUGACCUCAAAUCAGGUAGGACUACCCGCUGAACUUAA
RNAcentral lists this unclassified non-coding RNA (215 nucleotides) under uncultured fungus. Its description in RNAcentral is "partial contains 5.8S ribosomal RNA, internal transcribed spacer 2, and large subunit ribosomal RNA". The stretch from base 1 to 52 matches the Rfam family "5.8S ribosomal RNA", at positions 103 to 154 of the family's 154-position model. Lineage: Eukaryota; Fungi. The record is from RNAcentral.